GCAAGUUCUGUUUUGGUCCCAGAGGUUAAUGCAGUCGUAGCCUUUUAUGGGGUUCCUUCACCAGAGCUUGCUGAUCCUGUUAAUGCUAAGGCCCCUGUGCAAGCUCAUUUCGGUGAAGAUGAUGCUUUUGUUGGGUUUUCAGAUGUAAAGACUGGUAAAGCUCUAGAGGAAAAACUGAAAACAGCAGGAGUUCCACAUGAGGUUUACUUCUAUCCAAAGACUGGACACGCAUUCAUGAACAAGUCACCAGAGGGCGUUGAAAGGAGGCAAAAGAUGGGGAUGCCUGAUGUAGAAGAUGCUGCCGUAGAUCAAGCUUGGUCCCGCUUCCGUUCAUGGAUGAGUCGUUUCUUAUCUGCCUAAGUUUUGUUGCUUGUUUUCUGAUCCUAUAAUAGGCUGUAGCAUGGUUACCAUAAUAAUGUGAUGUGUCUUGAUGCUCCGGGAUGUUCCCUUGAAGCUUGUGUUUGGCAUUCAGUUCCUAUGGUGCACAUAUAAACUGAAUGUUCUGUAGAUUGGACAUAUAUGUGCUCUAUGGGGAUUUUCGAGUAUCCCAAAUGAGUGCACUUGGUUAAUUUCCAGAAGCUUGCAUUUGGCCGUUGG
RNAcentral lists this unclassified non-coding RNA (597 nucleotides) under Hevea brasiliensis (rubber tree). The record is from RNAcentral. Lineage: Eukaryota; Viridiplantae; Streptophyta; Magnoliopsida; Malpighiales; Euphorbiaceae.